GAGAGCGGCGAACGGGUGAGUAACACGUUGGAAUCUGCCCCCAAGUCAGGGAUAGUCUAGGGAAACCUAGGGUAAUACCGGAUAGUCUCUUUGGAGUAAAAAUUUAUUGCUUGGGGAGGAGCCUGCGAUCUAUCAGUUAGUUGGUGAGGUAAUGGCUUACCAAGACUAUGACGGAUAACUGGUCUGAGAGGAUGAUCAGUCACAAUGGAACUGAGACACGGUCCAUACUCCUACGGGAGGCAGCAGUGAGGAAUCUUCCACAAUGGACGCAAGUCUGAUGGAGCGACACCGCGUGAAGGAAGAAGGCCUAACGGUUGUAAACUUCUUUUCUGAAGGAGCAUAAUGAGAGUACUUUAGGAAUAAGGGACGGCUAAAUAUGUGCCAGCAGCCGCGGUAAUACAUAUGUCUCAAGCGUUACCCGGAAUAACUGGGUGUAAAGGGUUUGUAGGUUGCUAAUUAAGUCAGGUAUGAAAGACCGGAGCUUAACUUCGAGUUUGUAUUUGAAACUGGUUAGCUGGAAUUAGGGAGAGGUAAGCGGAAUUCUAAGUGUAGGGGUGCAAUCCGUAGAUACUUAGAGGAACACCAAAAGCGAAGGCAGCUUACUGGAACUAUAUUGACACUGAAAAACGAAAGCGUGGGGAGCGAAAAGGAUUAGAUACCCUUGUAGUCCACGCCCUAAACGAUGAUAACUAAGUGUUGCAUGAAGAUGCAGUGCUGAAGCAAACGCAUUAAGUUAUC
This 738-nucleotide ribosomal RNA is filed under the name uncultured bacterium. RNAcentral's name for it is "bacterial SSU rRNA". It matches the Rfam family "Bacterial small subunit ribosomal RNA", at positions 91 to 869 of the family's 1533-position model. The record is from RNAcentral.